GUGGGCUGCAAUCUUCUUAUCGUCAACUUGAACAACCUAGAGGUGAUUGAUACCAUGAAGGACGGAGGACGGUUGGAGGGUGCGGCGGCGUCAAUUUUGGAUGAUUGUUUUCAUUUUGUUUGUGAUUUCCCUAUUUCUAGGUUCGAGCAUUGUAAUAGACAAGUAAAUAAAGUUGAUGAGGAGCUUGCUAGAAUGGCUAGAUUUUCUUUGACUUAUGAUUGGUUCCAGGAGCCUUUAAACGAAAUUGUAUCGAUCCUCAUAAAUGAUGUCAUGGUAAUUUCAAAUGAAUAA
RNAcentral lists this ribosomal RNA (291 nucleotides) under Triticum aestivum (bread wheat). RNAcentral's name for it is "partial small subunit ribosomal RNA". The record is from RNAcentral. Lineage: Eukaryota; Viridiplantae; Streptophyta; Magnoliopsida; Poales; Poaceae.